GUGUCAGCCGCCGCGGUAAUACGUAGGGGGCAAGCGUUGUCCGGAAUCAUUGGGCGUAAAGAGCGCGUAGGCGGUCCGGUAAGUCGGUUGUGAAAACUGGGGGCUCAACCCUCAGAGGCCGACCGAUACUGCCGGGCUAGAGUCCGGAAGAGGCGAGUGGAAUUCCUGGUGUAGCGGUGAAAUGCGCAGAUAUCAGGAGGAACACCAAUGGCGAAGGCAGCUCGCUGGGACGGUACUGACGCUGAGGCGCGAAAGCGUGGGGAGCAAACAGGAUUAGAAACCCCCGUAGUCC
Molecule: ribosomal RNA, 292 nt
Filed under: uncultured bacterium
Lineage: Bacteria
Description: partial 16S ribosomal RNA
Rfam family: Bacterial small subunit ribosomal RNA
Source: RNAcentral